Molecule: ribosomal RNA, 443 nt
Filed under: uncultured Leptotrichia sp.
Lineage: Bacteria; Fusobacteriati; Fusobacteriota; Fusobacteriia; Fusobacteriales; Leptotrichiaceae
Description: bacterial SSU rRNA
Rfam family: Bacterial small subunit ribosomal RNA
Source: RNAcentral
CCUACGGGUGGCAGCAGUGGGGAAUAUUGGACAAUGGGGGCAACCCUGAUCCAGCAAUUCUGUGUGCACGAAGAAGGUUUUCGGAUUGUAAAGUGCUUUCAGCAGGGAAGAAGGAAGUGACGGUACCUGCAGAAGAAGCGACGGCUAAAUACGUGCCAGCAGCCGCGGUAAUACGUAUGUCGCAAGCGUUAUCCGGAAUUAUUGGGCAUAAAGGGCAUCUAGGCGGCCAGACAAGUCUGGGGUGAAAACUUGCGGCUCAACCGCAAGCCUGCCCUGGAAACUGCCUGGCUAGAGUGCUGGAGAGGUGGACGGAACUGCACGAGUAGAGGUGAAAUUCGUAGAUAUGUGCAGGAAUGCCGAUGAUGAAGAUAGUUCACUGGACGGCAACUGACGCUGAAGUGCGAAAGCUGGGGGAGCGAACAGGAUUAGAUACCCUUGUAGUC